CAACUCGAAGAGCUCCUAUGAUGAGUCAAGAAUGCAGAAACAUUCACUUCGUAGCUUAAAUCUUUCUGUUCGGGUCGGAAUCCUCCAAUUACUCCGUAUAUGUCCAAAUCGGGUAAGCUGGGAAUCACCCGACUUGUAAAUGGAAUAACUCCUUCGUGUGAACUCUUUUUUGGCUGAUUCUUCUUCGAGGUGCUCGGUAUUUGAGCUGAGAAUGCAUUCCAAGUUUUCUCUGGGCAGGAUGAAUUGAUCUUGGACUUCGUCUGGACUGAACAAGGCUCAGGGGUCUUCUCAGGUAGGCGGAAUUGGCUUUGGCCUGAAGUUUUGGAUAAAACUUGGUUAAAAAUCCCACUUGGCUGCUCCUGGGUUGUUGCUUCUCGCCCAUAAUCUUCUCCAUGGUUGGUUCUUGGGUUGAUGACCGCAUCAUACCCUCCCUCUUCAAGAAGUUUUGUCCUCAAAACUUGAUCUCCUACACAUAGAUAAGUCAAGUUAGUCCAUUGAAGUAUAUGAGGGUGUAGAAUCUUACCUCGGAUCGGUUCAAGUGGUUUUUCAUCGGGUGGCUUCUCCUUGAUCUGAACGGUUUCAUUGAAAUUAUCAUCCCCAUUGGCAGCUCGUUUGAUAAGUAAAGGCGUGUACUCUUCACGAUUUUUGUUUUGGUCCAUGAAUUCCUUACUUUUCAAUGAAUCGCCUUUGUGGUCAUCCUUUGUACCUGUAAUAACUUCAACACUUUUGACAAGAGACAAGUGUGUUAAAACAGUCAUGGAAGCAUGUAAAUCGAAUUGACAAUUUUUGAAUUGCUCCUUUUCACUUCUCGGAAUUGAAACAAUUUCUUGUUUCUCCUCAGCAUCUAAAGACUCUUGUUCAACAUUGGACUUAGGUAAUUGCAGCACAUAUUCAAAGUUCUUAUCCAAUUUAAGAAAAGUAUCACUAUAACUUACAGUGAGAGAUUCCGUGAUAGGUUUGGCAUUUACUUGUGGCUCACGGUUCAGACUUGGUGUGACUGGUUUUGUUUUUGCUUCAUCUCUCAUUGUGGGACAUAAAUUUGCUGUGUGUCCUUUCUUUCUGCACCUAUAACAAGUUAGUCUUUUGAAAUCUUUAGGUACAAGAAACUUACCUUGAUUUCCAAUCAGAUUGGAGUUUGUUUCUUGCUUUAGAGUAGGUGUUUUGCCCUGUUGAAUCGUAAUGACAGAUUGAUGUGGUGCUUGUGAAUCUAAAUCACAACAUGUAGUCUCUUGGCUUAUCAACACAGCCGUUUUCUCCAUAGUACGACUUGAACCUGCAUCAACACCUUUUGGCAAAGACAAGUGUGAUAUGACAGAAUUGGGAGUUUUAAUUUUUGGUGUCAACAUAUCAAUUAAUUUGGAAAACAUCUCUUCUAUACUUUGUGACGUUUUAUCUACUUGUUUUGGAGGGCAAUUGGCAGCAAAAUGUCCUCUCUUAUGACAUUUAUAGCAGGUAGGAUUUUUCAAGACUGAGUUAGAGGACUUACCUCGAUUCACUUUUCCUUGUAGUUCAUGUAAGAGUGUUCCGGGUGAAUCUUGUUGAACCUCUUUUACUUGAACAAACUGCUCAGCCUUUAUUGGAGUCUCCCGGGUGCAUGAAGACGCUCUCCUUGGCUCAUGGUUGUGUGCAUUCAUUGGCUGAAAGAUAGGCUGCAGUUUUGGUGUAGUCACCACUUUCUUUGGCGUUUCCAUGUAUAAGGGCUUGGUGGUGCGAAUACGGGGCUGGUACUUCUUUGUAAACUCUCUAUACAUUCUGGAUUUGAGAGUUCCCCAAUCAAGAACAGCUUUGGUAGUGUAGUAAGUAGCAGCAUCCUCUCUUAACCACCAUUCAUAUGCAUCUCCUUUAAGUUUACUAAGGGCAUAGUACAGCUUUUCUUCUUUAGGUAUGUUGUUUGAGCGCAACCACUGCUUCAUGUUGGUCUCCCAUCUCAAAUACACCUCAGGGUCUUUACUGGUUCCUGUAAAGAUUAAGGAAUUAGAUGUGUAAUCACACACCUUGUUAGAUCGCUUCUUUGGGCUGGCUGAUGAGGUGCGAGUAUGCACUUGGUAUGAGGCAACUCCGUGGUGGCUAGAAUUCUCUUUGCGCUUGGGAGAACGGUACUGGUAUCCUACAUAAGAAUCUCCUUCACGUUCAUACUCAUCUUCAUAAACAUAAGGAUUCGGUUGAAUCCAAGUUGUUGUUGCGGUUUGAGGCUCGGUAUGGUGCUGGCUUGUAGGGAAACGGUCUGGUGGCUCUGGUUCAUGCUCUUCACCUCCUGGUUCUUCCUCAUAUUCAGAGCUGGCGUAGUCAUCUCCAUACCAUGGUUGAACUCCAUAGUCACCAUCUUCUCCAACUAGGUUUUGGUCUCCUCCAUGGCUUGAAUCGGAUUCAUAAGAGUAAAAGUUUUCCUUUGCCAUAUAAUAGGACGUCGUCAUGACUCUCUUUUUCUCCUAGGAAUAUCUCGUAACACAAGACAAAGAAGAAGAGGAAUCAAAACGUAAUCAAUUGAAGGAGAAAAAAGAAUUUUGCAAAUAACAAAAAUAAGGAAACAAUGAAAAGGGAAUAUUCUUAUUUUCUUUUUCUUUUUAAUUAUGACAACUCAAAUUGAAAACAGAAACAAUAAUAUCAAAUUUUUAUUUUUAUUUUCAGAGUUUAUAAAAAUAAAUUUCAGAAAUUAAUUAAAAAUAACAAAAUACGAAUUUUUUUUUUUUGGCUUUUCUUUUGAUAAAACAAAAUAAACAGCAAAACUCAAAAAAAAAAAAAAAAAAAAAAAAAAAAAAAAAAAGAUAAAGUGAAACGAAUUCACCUGGGUUAUAGGAGCUUUUAGCUCUGAUACCAAAUGAUAUAAGAUUGGAACCAAUCCAACUUAUGAUCACUCAAUGAUCAAGAGAUUCCAAGCUUAACUUGCGGAAGGUGGAAUUCACGAGCUGGCUAUAACGCACUCUCUCGUGAAUCAAGGGAUGGAACGAUGGAUAGAUGCGAUUGACUCACUCAAUCAAUGAACAAACUAGAAGUUUGAAUCACUCAAACAACUUGAUUUGCAGACUCAAAAGAACUUAAUUGACUCACUCAAAUAAGAACUAAUGAAAGGAAACACAAAGAAUUCGCAACUUUGUGGAAGAAAAGAAAACAAUGUUUCUUAUGAACUUUAAAAUCUCGAUUAAGGGUGAAUAAAAAUGUUACAAGUGACAUGAGCUUUAUAGGCUCGACCUCUAGGCAUUUCUAACAGUCUAAUAAUUCAAAAAGGAAAGAAAAUACACGAUCAAAUGAAUGAGAAAUAUCAAAGGGAUUGUCUUUGAUAUAAUGUAGCCGUUAGGCUUGAAUGCUUGGUCCAAAAAGAGAAACUCGUGGGCUUUUAUAUCUUGAAAGCUUCUGGAUGAUUCCAUGGCUUAUUAAUCUUCUAAUAACUCCCUUAAGUCGCACCAAAUCAGAAGAUAGCCGUUGGGGUUGGGCUUUGAAUGCUCUCGGGUCCAUAUAUGGUAACUCUUGGUGUAUGAUUAGGCAAGAUUGAAUCCACUUAAUACAAUGGCUGAGAAUGAAGCUUGAGGUGAUAUUAGGAGCCUCUAGUUGUAUUAGAAACUCUCCUGGACGCCAAAGUUUGGUUUGCAAGUGACUAAACCCGUCAGCUUCCAAAUAAGGCAAGCCGAGAAUCAUCUGGUUUGGAAAAUUAAUAUCUCCUAAACCAAAAUCGGUUUUGACUUGAUUCCAACUCGAAGAGCUCCUAUGAUGAGUCAAGAAUGCAGAAACAUUCACUUCGUAGCUUAAAUCUUUCUGUUCGGGUCGGAAUCCUCCAAUUACUCCGUAUAUGUCCAAAUCGGGUAAGCUGGGAAUCACCCGACUUGUAAAUGGAAUAACUCCUUCGUGUGAACUCUUUUUUGGCUGAUUCUUCUUCGAGGUGCUCGGUAUUUGAGCUGAGAAUGCAUUCCAAGUUUUCUCUGGGCAGGAUGAAUUGAUCUUGGACUUCGUCUGGACUGAACAAGGCUCAGGGGUCUUCUCGGGUAGGCGGAAUUGGCUUUGGCCUGAAGUUUUGGAUAAAACUUGGUUAAAAAUCCCACUUGGCUGCUCCUGGGUUGUUGCUUCUCGCCCAUAAUCUUCUCCAUGGUUGGUUCUUGGGUUGAUGACCGCAUCAUACCCUCCCUCUUCAAGAAGUUUUGUCCUCAAAACUUGAUCUCCUACACAUAGAUAAGUCAAGUUAGUCCAUUGAAGUAUAUGAGGGUGUAGAAUCUUACCUCGGAUCGGUUCAAGUGGUUUUUCAUCGGGUGGCUUCUCCUUGAUCUGAACGGUUUCAUUGAAAUUAUCAUCCCCAUUGGCAGCUCGUUUGAUAAGUAAAGGCGUGUACUCUUCACGAUUUUUGUUUUGGUCCAUGAAUUCCUUACUUUUCAAUGAAUCGCCUUUGUGGUCAUCCUUUGUACCUGUAAUAACUUCAACACUUUUGACAAGAGACAAGUGUGUUAAAACAGUCAUGGAAGCAUGUAAAUCGAAUUGACAAUUUUUGAAUUGCUCCUUUUCACUUCUCGGAAUUGAAACAAUUUCUUGUUUCUCCUCAGCAUCUAAAGACUCUUGUUCAACAUUGGACUUAGGUAAUUGCAGCACAUAUUCAAAGUUCUUAUCCAAUUUAAGAAAAGUAUCACUAUAACUUACAGUGAGAGAUUCCGUGAUAGGUUUGGCAUUUACUUGUGGCUCACGGUUCAGACUUGGUGUGACUGGUUUUGUUUUUGCUUCAUCUCUCAUUGUGGGACAUAAAUUUGCUGUGUGUCCUUUCUUUCUGCACCUAUAACAAGUUAGUCUUUUGAAAUCUUUAGGUACAAGAAACUUACCUUGAUUUCCAAUCAGAUUGGAGUUUGUUUCUUGCUUUAGAGUAGGUGUUUUGCCCUGUUGAAUCGUAAUGACAGAUUGAUGUGGUGCUUGUGAAUCUAAAUCACAACAUGUAGUCUCUUGGCUUAUCAACACAGCCGUUUUCUCCAUAGUACGACUUGAACCUGCAUCAACACCUUUUGGCAAAGACAAGUGUGAUAUGACAGAAUUGGGAGUUUUAAUUUUUGGUGUCAACAUAUCAAUUAAUUUGGAAAACAUCUCUUCUAUACUUUGUGACGUUUUAUCUACUUGUUUUGGAGGGCAAUUGGCAGCAAAAUGUCCUCUCUUAUGACAUUUAUAGCAG
Molecule: long non-coding RNA, 5137 nt
Filed under: Arabidopsis lyrata
Lineage: Eukaryota; Viridiplantae; Streptophyta; Magnoliopsida; Brassicales; Brassicaceae
Description: long non-coding RNA (ALYR_LNC000184)
Source: RNAcentral